UACGUAGGGUGCAAGCGUUGUCCGGAAUUAUUGGGCGUAAAGAGCUCGUAGGCGGUCUGUCGCGUCUGCUGUGAAAACUCAGGGCUUAACCCUGAGCUUGCAGUGGGUACGGGCAGACUAGAGUGCGGUAGGGGAGUCUGGAAUUCCUGGUGUAGCGGUGAAAUGCGCAGAUAUCAGGAGGAACACCGGUGGCGAAGGCGGGACUCUGGGCCGAUACUGACGCUGAGGAGCGAAAGCGUGGGGAGCAAACAGG
Molecule: ribosomal RNA, 253 nt
Filed under: uncultured bacterium
Lineage: Bacteria
Description: partial 16S ribosomal RNA
Rfam family: Bacterial small subunit ribosomal RNA
Source: RNAcentral